This is a long non-coding RNA of Symphalangus syndactylus (siamang), 508 nucleotides long. RefSeq lists it as uncharacterized. Lineage: Eukaryota; Metazoa; Chordata; Mammalia; Primates; Hylobatidae. The record is from RefSeq and is a predicted model, not a curated record.
UCAGAGCACGACGUAAAGGGGGCGGGCGUCUCUGUGACGUCACGAGGCUCCACCUCCCGCGAAGCUUUGUGUCGGCUGGGCCUGGCGGGAGGGUGGAGGUUGGCGGGUGGCCUGCGCUGUCAGCCUGGGCGCCUUGGAAUCGCGGUCCCGUGCUGUCCUCCAAACUUCAGACUCACCUCGGAAGCGUCAACCUCUUUGAAGACUUCUCAGUCACCAGAUGAGCCUUAUAUGACCUUAGCCCCUUUAAAUAUUGUCCAAGUGGAUUCUGAUAGAUGGGGUUUUGCCAUGCUGCCCAGGCUGGUCUUGAAUUCGUGGACUCAAGCGAUCUGCUCGCCUCAGCCUCCCAAAGUGCUGAGAUUACAGGCCUGAGCCACCACGCCCGGCUGGAAUCGUGCAUAUAUAACAGGCUUUUGGGGGGGACGUUGUCAGCUGACUGUAUUACUUUUCUUCCAUAUUUGCUCUGUGUAAUGUCGACGUAAUACAUGCACAGAUGAGGUUAUGAUGCAAA